This 448-nucleotide ribosomal RNA is filed under the name uncultured bacterium. RNAcentral describes it as "partial 16S ribosomal RNA". It matches the Rfam family "Bacterial small subunit ribosomal RNA", at positions 29 to 523 of the family's 1533-position model. The record is from RNAcentral.
AACGAACGCUGGCGGCAUGCCUAACACAUGCAAGUCGAACGAAGCCUUCGGGCUUAGUGGCGCACGGGUGCGUAACGCGUGGGAAUCUGCCCUUUGGUUCGGAAUAACAGGUGGAAACGACUGCUAAUACCGGAUGAUGACGAAAGUCAAAAGAUUUAUCGCCAGAGGAUGAGCCCGCGUAGGAUAGCUAGUUGGUGUGGUAAAGGCGCACCAAGGCGACGAUCCUUAGCUGGUCUGAGAGGAUGAUCAGCCACACUGGGACUGAGACACGGCCCAGACUCCUACGGGAGGCAGCAGUGGGGAAUAUUGGACAAUGGGCGAAAGCCUGAUCCAGCAAUGCCGCGUGAGUGAUGAAGGCCCUAGGGUUGUAAAGCUCUUUUACCCGGGAUGAUAAUGACAGUACCGGGAGAAUAAGCCCCGGCUAACUCCGUGCCAGCAGCCGCCGUAA